UGAUGGUAGCAGGAGUGCGUAAUGCAGGGCAGUCUGGCGCCAGGGAAGAGCGGGAGCAGGGCUGACACAACUAGUCAGUGACAACUGUCUGGCAUUUGGAGUUUGCGACAGAAACUGUCUCCCCAUUAACGAAUCCUCUCCGUAUCACGUGAUGAAGUUCUGAUGGAAACAACAAUAGCAGUGACCUGAGAUGUUUAGCCCGCGUGUGGUCUGACAUUCAGCACCACAUGACAGUGGACAGUGGCAAUUUUAGGAGAAGCAGCAACGUCAAUCUACCUGAGCCCAGUGAGUGUGUGACUGCGAGGGUGGACGGAACGGAAACCCAGUUGCAACAGUCAGUUCUGCAGUAGCCAUUUUCCGGCGAGAAAGAGAAAUGUCCCUAUACUUACCAGAAAAAGUCGCUCAUCCACCAUGGCCGAAGAGGAAUAUUCAGACUGUUGAUUGGGAAACAAAAACAAUGAGACAUGAGGAUUUGGUGUUGAGGGACCACUUGUCACAGUGUCUAAGCCCAACAGGAGUGCAUCCCUCAGACCAUCCCGUUUAUCAACAUCCUGUGCUAGUGGGAUCCAAGCGCAGCGUCCAGUUGUGGAGACUACAGCACAUCGAGCCUGUGGAUGGACAGACAUGAGGCUUGACAUACGGAACAUCAGGCUCCCCCCAUGAGAAGCAGUGCAUGAGCAACCUCACCCUCAGCAAGAAGAUCUGCUGGAAGUGAUGUACACUCUCUCUCACUCUGGGGGUACUGACAGUAGGAAUAUGAGUCUGCCAGAGGUCGUAACGCUGUAUGGGGAUGGUGAUGGAGGCUUUGAUGAUCCACACAAUGAAGAAGCAGGUGUCCCUUCCAGUGAUGUGGAGCUGACCUUAAACCUGGUGCCAAUACAGAUGGUCUUCCCGGAGGUGGUAAAACCCUCCCUCCUUGAUAUAGAAAUCCUUAGACCUCACUGCAUCAAUGGUAAGGUCUCUUGCACCAUAGGGACACUUGACCUCCACCACUGAGAGGCACCCAGGAUCGCAGGCCCUGUGACCAAAAGCCUUUACUCAUGCAUAUCCAUCCCUGUUUCCAUUUUGAAUUCCUUGAUGCCCUACUCUUCGUUAUCUGUGCCCCACUUUACAGACAACACCCCAUCCAAAGACUGUGAACUGAGGACCCUUUUUUAGCAGCGACAGAGUAACGCGUUUGGCCAUAUCCACUGCUCCAUAAUUGCUGGCCACCAACCUUCCUCCCCUCAUGGUGCGCCAGUUAGGGCUGGUGCUCUGUCCAACUGUUGCCUGCCGUAUAGUCUCCUGCUGCACCACCGACAGCGCCAUGCCAGCCAUAAUACCUGCAUGCCCCAGGUGCCCUCAUUUUUAACAAUGCCCGGUAAAGACAGGGAUGACAGGGAGGGUAACGGUGGUUCUGGUUCAGGUUCAAGGCGACAUACCAUUCAACUGAACCUGCUCAGGAGAAGGUUCCUUAGCCACUGAAAAUCCUCCUCUGUGGGGUCUCAGGACAGAGUGUGGUAGUCUUCAUCUGGGUACAGGUCCUCCACUGACUGCACCUGGUUAGGCACGGCUGGCUUCCUCCACUCGCAUUCCACAUCCGUACAGCCGAUAUUGUGACCAGCCAAAAUAGGCUGCAUGGCUACACUUAUGAGCUCCAUGGAGGCAUUAGUAUGUGGCACAGAGAAUCCCCUGUUCGCAGAGAGGAAGGAUGUUAAGUGCCACAUGCCUUUCAAUGCAUGACUUUGAACACCUUGAAAUGCAUUUGUUGUAAGAAAUGUGCUUUAUAAAUAAAGUUUGAUUUGAUUGAU
Molecule: long non-coding RNA, 1790 nt
Organism: Oncorhynchus kisutch (coho salmon)
Lineage: Eukaryota; Metazoa; Chordata; Actinopteri; Salmoniformes; Salmonidae
Exons: 6
Source: RefSeq, a predicted model, not a curated record